Molecule: ribosomal RNA, 253 nt
Filed under: uncultured bacterium
Lineage: Bacteria
Description: partial 16S ribosomal RNA
Rfam family: Bacterial small subunit ribosomal RNA
Source: RNAcentral
GACGGGGGAGGCAAGCGUUGUCCGGAAUUAUUGGGCGUAAAGAGCGCGUAGGUGGUAUGUCAAGUCAUUUGUGAAAACUUUAGGCUUAACUUAAAGAUUGCAAGUGAUACUGAUAUACUUGAGCACAGCAGAGGAAAGUGGAAUUCCUGGUGUAGCGGUGAAAUGCGCAGAUAUCAGGAAGAACACCAGUGGCGAAGGCGGCUUUCUGGGCUGUUGCUGACACUGAGGCGCGAAAGCUAGGGGAGCGAACAGG